GAUGAACGCUGGCGGCGUGCCUAAUACAUGCAAGUCGAGCGAACAGACGAGGAGCUUGCUCCUCUGACGUUAGCGGCGGACGGGUGAGUAACACGUGGAUAACCUACCUAUAAGACUGGGAUAACUUCGGGAAACCGGAGCUAAUACCGGAUAAUAUAUUGAACCGCAUGGUUCAAUAGUGAAAGACGGUUUUGCUGUCACUUAUAGAUGGAUCCGCGCCGCAUUAACUAGUUGGUAAGGUAACGGCUUACCAAGGCAACGAUGCGUAGCCGACCUGAGAGGGUGAUCGGCCACACUGGAACUGAGACACGGUCCAGACUCCUACGGGAGGCAGCAGUAGGGAAUCUUCCGCAAUGGGCGAAAGCCUGACGGAGCAACGCCGCGUGAGUGAUGAAGGUCUUCGGAUCGUAAAACUCUGUUAUUAGGGAAGAACAAAUGUGCAAGUAACUAUGCACGUCUUGACGGUACCUAAUCAGAAAGCCACGGCUAACUACGUG
RNAcentral lists this ribosomal RNA (497 nucleotides) under uncultured bacterium. RNAcentral's name for it is "partial 16S ribosomal RNA". It matches the Rfam family "Bacterial small subunit ribosomal RNA", at positions 28 to 507 of the family's 1533-position model. The record is from RNAcentral.